GUCGGGAAGGAGGCGGUGGAGGCGGCGGCGGCGGCGGCGCGGUGGAUAGAAGGGGCGCGAGCCGUUGGGCGGCGGUCGCGGGUCGGGCUGUGUGGCGGGCGCCAUGAAGGAGAUGUGCGGUACUUCUAGGCUGCAGAACCAGCCUCAAAGGCACUAUGGAAUCACCUCUCCCAUUAGCUUGGCUCCUCCAAAGGAUAUAGAUUGUGUUCAGACUCAAAAGCUAGUUGAAGCAAUGAGACCAUUUGGAGUAUUUGAAGAUGAGGAAGAACAGAAUCACAGGCUGGUUGUUCUUAGUAAACUGAAUAACUUGGUCAAAGAAUGGAUUUCAGAACUUGGUGAGAGCAAGAAUCUUCCCCCUUCAGCAGUAGCAAAUGUCGGUGGCAAAGUAUUUACAUUUGGUUCUUACAAGCUUGGAGUGCACACUAAAGGUGCUGACAUAGAUGCUGUUUGUGUUGCUCCUAGACAUGUCGAAAGAUCGGAUUUUUUUCAGUCAUUCUUUGAAAAACUAAAACAUCAGGAGAAAAUAAAAAAUCUAAGAGCAGUUGAAGAUGCAUAUGUGCCAGUUGUCAAGUUUGAGUUUGAUGGCAUUGAGAUUGAUCUUGUGUUUGCAAGGCUGUCUAUGCAAACUGUUUCUGAUAACCUUGAUCUUGGAGACGACUCGCGUCUGAGAAGCCUGGAUAUAAGAUGUAUACGGAGCUUAAAUGGCUGCAGAGUUACGGAUGAAAUACUACAUCUAGUGCCAAAUAAAGAGAACUUCCGGCUCACGCUCCGUGCAAUUAAACUGUGGGCAAAACGUCGUGGCAUUUACUCCAACAUGCUGGGAUUUCUUGGUGGGGUUUCUUGGGCAAUGCUAGUAGCAAGAACAUGUCAACUCUAUCCAAAUGCUUUGGCUUCUACUCUUGUUAACAAGUUCUUCUUGGUUUUUUCAAAAUGGGAAUGGCCAAAUCCUGUAUUGCUGAAACAACCUGAAGAAAGCAAUCUUAAUUUACCAGUAUGGGACCCUAGGGUGAACCCAUCAGACAGGCACCAUGUAAUGCCUAUCAUCACCCCAGCCUAUCCACAGCAGAACUCUACAUACAAUGUAUCUAUAUCAACGCGAGCGGUAAUGGUGGAGGAGUUCAAACAUGGUCUUGCAGUUACAAAUGAGAUUCUCCAAGGAAAAUCAGACUGGUCAAAGCUGUUUGAACCACUGAACUUCUUUCAGAAGUACAAGCAUUAUAUUGUGCUGACUGCUAGUGCCUCUACUGAAGAGCACCACUUAGAGUGGGUUGGCCUUGUUGAAUCUAAAAUCCGUGUGCUGGUCGGAAACUUAGAGAGGAAUGAAUUUAUAACUAUUGCACAUGUAAAGCCACAGUCUUUUCCUGGCAACCAAGAACUCUGUGAACAGAGUGGAUAUGUGUCAAUGUGGUUUCUUGGAAUCGUAUUUAGGAAAGUGGAAAAUGCAGAAAGUGUUAACAUUGAUUUAACAUACGUUAUACAGUCGUUCACAGAUACAGUUUACAGGCAGGCUAGCAACCUCAAUGUGCUAAAGGAAGGUAUGAAGAUUGAGGCAGCUCAUGUGAAGAGAAAGCAUCUCCACUAUUUUUUGCCUGCAGAAACCUUGCAGAAAAGAAAGAAGCAAAGCAUGUCAGAUAUUACUCAAAAUGCUAGUGGGCUUCAGUGCAAAAGGACUUCUUCAGAUGGAAGCUGUUUGGACAGUUCCAGGGACAUGGGCUCCAGAACACUAUAUAAUUCGUCUUCAUUAAAUAAGAUAUCUAAAUCGGACGCCUCUACAGCAGAGAUAGAAAGAAAUGCUGUAUGCCACAGGCCUAGUGGUGGUAACAAUAGAGAGAAGAGAUCUCAUGUAGCUGUGCCAUCAGUGUCUAAGGGACUCUCCAUUCCUGUAAUUGAUUCACAAACGCAGACUACAGUUGCAGUAAGAACAUCGGGACCUCCAAUUGGUUACACCAUGCCAGGACAUAACACAAUUUCGCAACUGAGAGCAUGUUUUGUCCAAGGACAGCAUGAAAUAAGCGGGACCCCAAUUACAGAUCCUAAGAACGUUGCACCUAAACGACCUUAUUCACCAACCUCUAAAGGAAGUCAUUCACCUACAUCAGAAGGAUGCCCCAAAAAAACAAGGGAUGGAGAAAAGUUAACUGGCCAGGAUUCAGCAUUCAAAGAUGGUGGCAAUCCAGAAGAUGUCAGGAGAAGAUCUACAGAAAAUGGUGGCCUUGGAGGAAAACCCAUGCGGGUUCCAAUAAUCAACCCAUCAAGAUCACAGAGGCUUUCCAGUAAAGAACUACCGGAUUCUUCAUCUCCUGUUCCAACAAACAGUGUUCGUAUUAUUAAAAGAUCCAUCAAACUUACCCUUAACGGGUAACGAGUAUCUCUUCAGAUCCAUCUUUGCUUCCUCUGCAUUUGGACUGGGUGGUAAUUUGUUCUGUGCCGAUGGAGUGAAUAGCCCUGGGAGUUCUGAAACCAAAGGAGAAAUAACCUACCCUGUUCCAGUGUGUGGCAGCCUGACAAUCAGCCACUUACUGCGGGGAUGAUCCUGCUCACUCUCUGCAGUAUGUGCAACGGAGAGAAAUCUAAAAACUUUUGGCUACUAAGCAAGUCUGGCAAGCAUGUGUAAGUUCAAUCUUUUCAAAGGUUCAACACAUGCCCAGAUAUAUGUGGCUUUUCAAAGGAAGAGCAAAAAGUCCAAUAGCAACAGCAGCACAGCCUCUGUGCUAAAUUUCAUGUCCCUGUUUCUGAAAUGUGAAGAAGUUUCUUAAUAAAAGUUUUAAGAAUUCUUUGAAUAUAAUUAAAGCAGCAUAUGUUUCCCAUGACUCAUUCUUAGAAAUGGUUGAGUCAUUUUUGUUCUGUUUUUCCUAAAAAUCAGCUGGAGGCACAAUAUAUGUAAUCAUACUCCAAAGAAAAGUCUUUGGCAAACUUGGAGUAACUGAAAAUGUGUCCCUAAAAUAGGAAGUGCAUCUAGCCAUAACCAACAAAGUACGUUGAUAGUAAUAUGAUAAAAAUAAAACAUAGUACCUACUUGCUGCAGCAUUAACUAAAGCUAGAAUUUAUUUGGCCCCUGCAGUUUUAAUGCUGCUCCAUUUUUCUUCUGUGUGGUCACUUAGCAAGAACUGAAAGUUAUCAUAAGCACUAUAUCCAAGUGCGUGCACACAAAGAAGAAAAAAUGAGGUUUUGUGAAUCACUUGAUGUAUAAGUGCUUGGCUGUGUGCCUUCAGCACUGCUUUAGUUUGUUUGUUGUGAUUUUUGUCAGAUUGUUUUUCCUCUCAUUUCUUUGAUACUGAAUUUACAUUUUAUUAUGUACAGCUUUUUCUAUUACUUGGGCAGAAGGGCAUAAACCUGUCAUUGUGAGCAAUUCAACAGAGGUUUCUAAUAAAUAAGCUAAAGAAGUAUUGUUAUUUUAAUACAUUGCUAUAUUGUAUGUUUUCUACUCUCCCAAGUGAGGCAGGCAUUAGACUGUCGGGAAACUGAAAGCUGGUCCUGCUUCUGAAUUGUAUAUACAAAACCAGAAGUCUGUAAGUAUUUCUUGCAAGAGUUGUAGCUGGUCAUGACAUUCACUUCUGCUUUUGUCUAGAUGGUAUAGCACGUUAAUUUUCACCACUCAUUUUGAGUGUUUUUACAUGUCUUUACCAAUACUGUACCUUUUCUGCUAUGUAGGAUAACAGCCGUUGGUAGAGUGUGUAAAGCAACCUGGUAUAGGUUUUGUUCAGUAUGGUUACAGAAAAAAAAAUCCAGCCUGUCAAAUCAUGAACAAUAGGAAGAUCGUAGGUACAGGAUUUUCUGUAUAGUGAUUGUUUGCAGUAAUUCAGUUAAGAAAAUCAAAUGGGACAAAAAUAUGCCUCUGGGAGUUGUCUUUUGAGGAAAAUGACUAUGUUGCAAACAGGCAAGUACUAGCAAUGAGAAGGCAAGGGAAUCCCCUGUUUCUGUUCCCCUGUUCACCCACUAAAUAAAUCACUGGGUUACACCAAAUGAUAAGUUGCGUAAGUACAGAGAUGUUUACUUUCUGUAAUUAAGAGUAAAUAUUUGGCACAUGCCUGUAAAAAUUAUAAAUCUGUUUACUAAAUUAUGUUACUCUUACUGAAAUAAGUAAUCAACAGUGUGUUCUCUCCCAUUCUUACAUGUUGUGACUUCAAGUGGGGAAAAUUUAGCAAAGGUAACAUCUCAAUUUUCUCCAGACUGUGCUUAUUUAAAGUUGUUUUCAGUUCACCUUUCAGUAAAAGUAAGCUGAGGUGGAUUGGCCAGAAGCCCAGCUAUGGAGCUCAAAUAGAGGUUUGUAUGUUCAGACUCAAAUGUUGUGUGUCUUCAGCCUUAAAGGUCAUCCCUGAUCUCAGUGGCUGUGAUGUCAAUGGGGAAUCCCUGCUGCGCUUCUGUUUGUCCUUGUGUGAAGGUCUAAAAAGUCAAAAACAAAUAAAAAUAAAAGCAAAGCCACUGCUUAGCAAAGUUUAAGGCUUCACUAUAGAAACUAACCACAUGUUCUUAGUAUCUCCUAAGCAAGACUGUGUUACUUUAUCAGCUGCUGCUUGUAUGUGAACUUGGGUCUCUUCUUGGUCACCAUUCCUUUUGCUUAGAUUGUUUUGUUUUUCAACUACUUAUUAAGGGGAGCUUUUUUGAGCAACAUGGGAUGACCUUGUAUUUGUUAAGUAAUGGAUGCCGCUGACACCAGUGUUUAAGAUGACUUCUUAUCUGAAAUAACUGGACUGAGGAUGAACCACUGUGCCCACUGGUGUUUCCUUAUUUGUAUUAAGUUUUGUUACUAUUGUGCACUUUUUCAAGGCUUUCCCUGACACCAUGUCAAAUUCUUUUUCAACACUUAAUAAUUCUUCACAACAUUUCUGAGAAGUUUUUUAAAAUCUCUGUUUUAACAGGUAAGGGAUCUAAGGCAUAGGGAUUAAAGACUUAUGAAGGGUCAGACAGUUUUGUGGCAACACCAGAAACUGAAGCCAAAUUCCUUGAAUAUGUGAGACUGUGUUCUUUGACCCUUUUUCUUUAGAGUCAUGUUGUCCACGCUUGCAAAGGGGAUUCCCAGUACAUAAGAGUUACUGCAUCCAGCUAAGGACUGUUGUAAGUCUCUCUAGAGACUAUAACUGAAACCAACUGCUGAUUUUUAAGCCACUGCAUACGUGAUAGCCCACUGUUCUGUCUUAUUGCUUUUUUUUAUAAGCUUGCAAGUUAAACAACUUCUCAGACCUUGAUUACCUUCUUAAGAAGAAAAAAAAUCAGAGAUUUCUUUCUUGCUUAUUGUUGGUUCUCCACAAAAAAAGCCUCGUUAAGAGUUUCAGCACAACAUGCAGUGCCAUCGGACUGUCAGAUCCAAGUUAACACCUUACUAAGCGAUGGGUAAGUUCUUGUGUCUUACCCUUGUGGGGGUGGGUGAGGUUGGUAAGGAGGAAUCCCAAUAAUUCCUUAUAGUAGAAUUGCAAAAAAAAAAAAAUUACAUAUUUUCUAGGGAGUGACUGCUAGUUUCUACAGAAAAUGAAUGGACGCUAAGUGUAUGUCCUUUAAAAAAAAAAAAAGGCAAAAAUAGACUUCUGUGUAAAUUGUCUCAAUUGAGAUUCUUGAUUAGACACUCUGUUAGAGAUGUCUUUUUCUGCUGCUGAGCAGUUGCUGCAGCAUCGAACCAGACUUUCUACAUGAAAGAUGAAUGCAACUCCUAAGCGAUUGAAUACAUCUUUGCAGAAGUAUCAUGCCAACUGUUAUGAAAAACAGGAUAUCCCAUGACACUAUUCCAGUGCAGGAGGCACCGUAAGUAAGGUUGUACCUUAAAGCCACAAAGGCCUUGGGUAUCACAAAAUAAUGCUGAACUGCAUGAAUUGAAGAGGCUUUGUUGCUUGGUCAAACGUGAAUCCCUAAGAUGCGUGUUAAGUCCUGCAAGGCUGAGCAGCAUAGGACCUCAGUGUCGCCAGCUCACAGCCAUGAUAUCAGACUACUUUUAUUAUCCCACAUUUUAGGCCCAAAGUUAUCCCCCUUUAGAUUCACUGUUAAAAAUUACUCUUGGCUUCAGUAGAAGCCAAAUCCUUUUAUUUAGGAAAGGGUUGUAGCUACUGAGUUGAGUUGGUUGAAUUAUGAAUGUUAUGUAUGUGAACUGGUGUAUCGUUAUAUCUUUCUGAAUGAAUGCUAGAGUUUACAGCAGCUGCUGGUAGCCAUCUCCCUUACAAUACUUAAAUGAAUGGUAAGUUUGCAGGGCUGCGUAUUUUUAUCACUCAGACAAAAUUCCAGUCAACGCAAGUGGAAGCUUCGCCUGUACGAGAGGUGCGCGAUUGGGUUCUUGACUCUUAACUGUACUGUAUUGCUAUGAAUGUAUCAUUGCAUGGCCCCGAAUUUAAUAAGCUUAUUCCUGUAAUCAAAGCUUGUUCAGUGCAGUGAACAAGCACAACAAGCAUGCCUCCAAGGCCAAAGAAUGUGCUAUUGCUUAAUGAGUUGCUUAAGGCCCCUCAGAUAAAGGUGGAAGAAACACUCAGUUGAGGGAAGUUGCCAUAGUCCUUCUCUCCAGCUUUAGGAGUGUGAAUUUUCCUAGAUUUCCUGAAUAAAUCUGUUGAUCAGUCUUUGCUGCAUGAGCAUGUUAUGAACAAAGAUGGAUACACUCUUGUAAAGGGAACCACAGAGAAUUCUGAGUCCCCUCUGUCUUAUUGAGCCAGAACAGGAAUUUUUGAAUAUACCAAACUUCUGUUCAUAGAGCACCAUUAUGCAUGCUGCAGUAGAAAGCUCGGGGUUGGAAGACAGACUAUCUUUUUUUCGAAAAUUGAAAGAAUCAUGGGUCUUAUGAAGGGGAGGAUAUUGCAAAAGAAAGAGAACUGGAUGUGAUUGCUAGAGAAUGAAGUGGCUAUGGUUGCUAUUAAGGGGAAGGGAAAAAAAACCCCACUUUAGUCUGUUAAGCAGUAGCUACUUUGCCAUUUAUUGUUUUCAUAAACCAUAAUCAGUUUGCUUUUUAUCACUUUAGGAGGUUCUUGCCACCACCUUCAUCCCCGGCACACUCGAGUUCUCCUUUCCUGGCUGAAGACUUCUGCUUCAUCAGUUGUGAUCAUUAUUUCUGCAGGUUUCCUUUUAAUGGAAGCUUCUGGAAAAGGCACAGUCGUCUAUCUUUGGCUACUUUUUUUGAGACGUGAGCUCAAGACACCACAGAAACUAAAGCUCUCUGCUUUAUACAUGAAGAUCUUCACCCUCUUGUGCUGGAAGAAGCACGAAACCACACAAGUAUGACGAGCAGUUAGAAGCAGAUGUAGUGAGGUAUACUGGGAAGGCAAUAGUUUGCAUGCCCUUUCAGGAAAUCAUUGUAGUGACCACGAGGGGGCAUUUUAUUAAGACACCGCAAACCGAAGUGUAUUACUCAUGAUCACUGGGGGAGUGGCAUCAAGGCUUUUAAAGGACAAGCUGUUGUGGCAGCCAGGAGUAAAGCCAGUAGAACAGUAAUCAGGCACUUUUAUUUCAAAUCCACCUCCUCUUCAUUCCUACUCUUUUGAUAUUGGAACCUGUAAUGGUUAUCACUUCAUUGCCGAGGCUACUGCAACGGAAAAUUUUAGCUAGUGAUUACAUGUCUCAGCCUUUGUGAAACAGAUCAGUCAACAGGUUGAUUUUCAGCACUCCUGACUUGGCUUGCACCCCAGCGUCUCACUGGAGACUAAUCACAAGCGGAGCUACGACACUGGUGGCUUUACUAUAUAUAAUUCGUCUUUUCUGCAUCUGUGUGUUAACGAACCUUGCCAAUAAGCAGUUAUUUUAUAUUCAACUUUACAUAUGAUAUUGCCUUUCUAGACAACUCUAGGCCUUGUUCUAAUUAAUCCUUCUUGUCGCUGGCUUGUUUCUGUCACUUCUUGGGUUAGGCCUUCUCCUUCCUCUAGUUCCUGCAUUUGCUUGCCAGAAGAAGCUUGUGGUGGCAAUUCUUCCUUCACGUCUGUUUUGUUUCCAUUUAACAGGCCACGUAUCUAGACCUGUUUCUUCCACUGCGCAGGGCAAAGAAUACGUUCAGUUCCUUUUUCUCUCUCUUAAUGUGUGUAUUGUGCAACAGAUGUCUUGAAGAAUUAUUAUUUUUCCUGGCUUUUUGUUCCU
Molecule: RNA transcript, 8037 nt
Organism: Chroicocephalus ridibundus (black-headed gull)
Lineage: Eukaryota; Metazoa; Chordata; Aves; Charadriiformes; Laridae
Gene: PAPOLG
Gene name: poly(A) polymerase gamma
Exons: 24
Source: RefSeq, a predicted model, not a curated record